GGAGUGGGCUAGUCCCCCGGGUCGGUCACCGCUGAACUCUCAGACAAUCAAGCUUUCGAUGAUCAUGUGAUGAGGUUUCCAGUCAGUUCCAGGUGAAGACACCACUGGCCAUCAAGAAGCUACCCUCUCCCCACCAGACAGAGCAGGAUGAGAGUUCUAUAAUCCUCAAUAGGAGGGAGCACUCAAUUGAACAAGUGCAGGAACCAGCUGGCUGCCUCAGCACUGACAGAAGCAAAUUCCAUUUGCUUGGACCCACUGCAUUCCAUCCCUUGUGGAAGAGAGCAUGUAAGCAAGACAGGACCUUCGGGCCUCUAAAAAAAAAGGAUCAAAGAACUGAAACUCACCAGAUCACCUCACCAGAUGCUAGACCCCUCAUUCACCAUGUUUGCUUCCUUGCCUCUCCCUAGUUCUUAUUUUCUUACACAUUGUUACAUUUCUUCCCUGCUAUAUCAACCCCUAGUUCUAGUCAGUCAUGGAGAUGGAUUUGAGACUGAUCUCCCAUCCCCUCAGCUGCACCACCUGAUUAAAGCCUUCUUCCU
RNAcentral lists this long non-coding RNA (539 nucleotides) under Pan troglodytes (chimpanzee). RNAcentral's name for it is "lincRNA". Lineage: Eukaryota; Metazoa; Chordata; Mammalia; Primates; Hominidae. The record is from RNAcentral.